CCUACGGGAGGCAGCAGUGAGGAAUAUUGGUCAAUGGGCGUAAGACUGAACCAGCCAAGUCGCGUGCAGGAAGACGGUCCUAUGGGUUGUAAACCUCUUUUAUCGGGGGAUAAAAUGCGCCACGCGUGACGUUCCGAAGGUACCCCAAGAAAAAGCAUCGGCUAAAUCCGUGCCAGCAGCCGCGGUAAUACGGAAGGUGCGGGCGUUAUCCGGGUUUAUUGGGUUUAAAGGGUGCGCGAGCCGCAUGUCAAGUCCGCGGUGAAAUCCCAAGGCUCAACCAUCGCGGGGCCGCGCAAACUGGGUUUCUUGAGUGAGCGAGAAGUAUGCGGAAUGCGUGGUGUAGCGGUGAAAUGCAUAGAUAUCACGAAGAACUCCGAUUGCGAAGGCAGCAUACCGGAGCGCUACUGACGCUGAGGCACGAAAGCGCGGGUAUCGAACAGGAUUAGAUACCCGAGUAGUC
Molecule: ribosomal RNA, 460 nt
Filed under: uncultured bacterium
Lineage: Bacteria
Description: partial 16S ribosomal RNA
Rfam family: Bacterial small subunit ribosomal RNA
Source: RNAcentral